AACCAUUCUCACCUGCGGCUAGACCUGCGGAAGGAUCAUUAUCGUUGGGCUCCUGCCCAUUCGAGAUAACACCCUUGCCUUUUUGAGUACCUUUUCGUUUCCUCGGCAGGCACGCCUGCCAACGGGGACCCUUCAAAACGCUUUGUAAUACCUGUCAUUGUCUGAUAUAACAAGCAAAAAUCAAAACUUUUAGCAACGGAUCU
This 203-nucleotide unclassified non-coding RNA is filed under the name soil metagenome. RNAcentral's name for it is "partial contains 5.8S ribosomal RNA, internal transcribed spacer 2, and large subunit ribosomal RNA". The record is from RNAcentral.